This 429-nucleotide ribosomal RNA is filed under the name Chloroflexota bacterium. RNAcentral describes it as "Chloroflexi bacterium partial 16S ribosomal RNA". It matches the Rfam family "Bacterial small subunit ribosomal RNA", at positions 355 to 776 of the family's 1533-position model. The record is from RNAcentral. Lineage: Bacteria; Bacillati; Chloroflexota.
UGGGGAAUAUUGCACAAUGGGCGCAAGCCUGAUGCAGCCAUGCCGCGUGUGUGAAGAAGGCCUUCGGGUUGUAAAGCACUUUCAGCGGGGAGGAAGGCGAUAAGGUUAAUAACCUUGUCGAUUGACGUUACCCGCAGAAGAAGCACCGGCUAACUCCGUGCCAGCAGCCGCGGUAAUACGGAGGGUGCAAGCGUUAAUCGGAAUUACUGGGCGUAAAGCGCACGCAGGCGGUCUGUCAAGUCGGAUGUGAAAUCCCCGGGCUUAACCUGGGAACUGCAUUCGAAACUGGCAGGCUAGAGUCUUGUAGAGGGGGGUAGAAUUCCAGGUGUAGCGAUGAAAUGCGUAGAGAUCUGGAAGAAUACCGGUGGCGAAGGCGGCCCCCUGGACAAAGACUGACGCUCAGGUGCGAAAGCGUGGGGAGCAAACAGG